GUUUUUUGGGGGGAUGUUGUCACGGUCCGGGCGCACGUCUGCAGCAAGCAGCUGCAAUCAAUCGCCAGCAAUCAACACACCUGAAGCUGAUGAUGAGACCUGCCUUCAUAAGCCGGCACAACCUGCUAUCCCGGGCCAGAACGUAGUUUCCUGUUCAGUACAGUAAGCCAAGAUGUCAAGCUCUAUGCGCACUGUUUGCUCUCUGUGUUUUCUCCCCCGUCGUGUUCAUUGUCUUGUGUCCUCCUUGUCACCUCUCUGCGGCCUGCCUUCGUUCCCACGUCACGAGCUGUGUGUCUCGGCUCCCUGCGUCCCCUUUGGUUCCCUGGAUGCAUCUUGGAUCUCGACCUCCCGCCUGGACACGGACUCUGACGCCCCGCUAGUACCCCCGACUACGUGCCUGCCUCACGGAUCUUCGAGCCUGCAUUUCCCCUCAGGGACUUCCGCCCCUUGCUCAACACUCCCGCUGUGUGCCCCGACUUUCCUGUUGGAUUCCGGACUGCCUCCCUCGAUCCUCGACCCCUGAUUGGACACGGAUCUCGUUGCUUCUCUCCAGCCCCCGACCGCUUGCUUGCCCACGGACUGCCAUCUUGCCUUGCCCCUCUGGUCUGACGAAAGAUUCGCUCAACACUCACGCGAGCUGUCAGCCGCCAGCUCGGCUGCAGUCGUAGAGCCAGCCUGGGGACUGGAUGGACGUCAGAGACGGGAAGAGUGACAGAGGACAUGCCAGGUUCGCCAUCUGAAGCUGGACAACAGAAGAUAUCUAUUUCUCAGAGCUCUAAUCUGUCCGGCACACUGAGGUGCGCAUUCAUCUGUGCGCUGCACUGGGCGCACCUCCAAGAGCGCACCUGCGCGCGCCACUCCGGCUGCAGCAGGCAGCUGCAAGCAAUCUGCACACCUGUCGUUGAUGAGCUCCCUGGGCUUCUUAAGCCAGUGCAGACCUGCGUUCCGGGCCAGUACGUAGUGAUCUGUUCCAGUACAGUAAGCCGACUCAUCAAGCUCUAUGCAUACUCUCUCUCUGUGUUUCUCCCCCUCCGUGUUCAUUUGUCUCGUGUCCCCCCUUGUCGCCUUCCAGCAGCAUACCUUCGUUCCCGCGUCACGAGCUGUGUCUCGUCUUCCCGUGUUCCCUCUGGUUCCCUGGCUGCAUCUUGAAUCUCGACGUCUUGCCUGGACACGGACUUUGACGCCUCGCCCCUGCCCUUGACCUCACGCCUGCCCACAGACCUCCGAGCCUGCCUUGCCCCCUUGGACUUCCACAUCUCGCUCAACACUUCCGGUAACACUCAUCAGAUAAUCGCUACACAUAGUCAGACACACACACAUUUGGAUUCGUUUCACACUCCAUUCUACUGUAAAUAUAAAAUAAACAUAGAACUAAACGACGUCCCCGCUGUCUGUGCCGUCUUCUUCCCCUGUACACCAUAACAUUCAUCCAAUUUAGUAAUGCUGCUUAAGGCUGAGCCAAUCAGUGGCCACGAUACUGAACAGCGUUAUCGGAUUUGUUUGGUCUCAUAUAGUGACCAAUACUACUGUAAUUGUUACGGCGCACGCGCAGUCUGCUUCUCCCUCCUCUGCGGGAGCACUUAGAGGCUUCGCUGUGAGCUCCACAGGACACUCCCCCGCGUUUGCCGCGUCGCCGCAGCUGGAGACAUUCUGCAAUCUGCGCACCUGGACCUGAUGAGAGGGAGCUGACUAAAGGACCAGUGGACCCAAGGAUCCUGGCGGGAACUUAGUUUCUCAAUGGUGUACCGUAAGCCGACACAAGCUUUAUGCUCUCUUUUGCUCUCUCUGUCUUCUCCCUUGUGCCCGCAGUGUUUUCCUUCCGUUGCCUUGGUUUCGAGUUGUGCGUACUCAAUUAAAAAGACAAAACGGAGACUUAGUUACCAAUGUGAGGUCCUUGUUUGGGCACGUGAUUCCGCUGAAUGAUACGCGAGAAAACUGUAACCU
This is a long non-coding RNA of Nerophis lumbriciformis (worm pipefish), 1944 nucleotides long. RefSeq lists it as uncharacterized. NCBI's taxonomy places the organism in Eukaryota, Metazoa, Chordata, Actinopteri, Syngnathiformes, Syngnathidae. The record is from RefSeq and is a predicted model, not a curated record.